AUGUGUAAAACCAUAUCUGAUAUUCACUUGACUGAGGGUAGUGAUCGCGUGUAUUGGGGGCUUAGUAAGAGUGGUAAAUUCUCUACCAAAUCUAUGUAUAAAUGGCUUGAGAGUCCCCUUAGCGGGUGCCAUUAUAGAAGGAUAUGGAAGGCAAAAAUCCCCCUUAAAAUCAAGAUCAUUUUAUGGCAGUUGUUGCAGGAUGCAGUCCUUACUAGACAAGUUAUGAAAAAGAAAAAACGACUAGGAAAUCCUAGUUGUUCCUUUUGCAGCGAAUUGGAAUCUUUCCAACAUUUGUUUUUUACUUGUCCGGUGGCUACAGUUGUUUGGCGAUCUGUUGGGGUGGUACUAGGUACUGAUAGUUGUCCGAACAAUUAUUAA
RNAcentral lists this ribosomal RNA (378 nucleotides) under Triticum aestivum (bread wheat). Its description in RNAcentral is "partial small subunit ribosomal RNA". Lineage: Eukaryota; Viridiplantae; Streptophyta; Magnoliopsida; Poales; Poaceae. The record is from RNAcentral.